This is a long non-coding RNA of Lethenteron reissneri (Far Eastern brook lamprey), 363 nucleotides long. RefSeq lists it as uncharacterized. The record is from RefSeq and is a predicted model, not a curated record. Lineage: Eukaryota; Metazoa; Chordata; Hyperoartia; Petromyzontiformes; Petromyzontidae.
GUGAGGAUCCUGGCAACUUCAUGUUCAAACACAUUUGGGGACCUGUCCGUGUGGUUUGACAGCGCUGCAAAGAGCACAACAAUAGCUGGCGUGUUUUUGGGAGUUAAUCGUCAGCCGUCAUCUGCGAGGAAUCAUCCACGGAAAUGAAGCUUCACGGGAUUUCGCAGCUCCCGCAAAAUUCACCGCGGAUCACGUGGAGGACCUCCAGCGGUGUGACCGGCGACCGCAUGCUCGAAAACCACCGCUCUCACGUCUCAUCGGAUGGGGGACGUCGCUUCACAGUCACGUGCUGCUCGCCACGCAACCCGCGACUCUUCGAUGACAAACAUCACAUUCCCGUGCAGAGCUGUGAGUGCGUCGGGA